AUGCUGCCGUCGCCGCCGCCCGCCGCCUCCUCCAUUGCCGCCCUGCUUAAGUCUUGGUUAGGCUCUACUUUCGAAACCCCUGUUUGUCGUCAGUUUAGUGCUUGCCUAUUCUCGGUUUCGGUUGCUAGUAAGCGUAUUGCCCAGUUCAUUGUCUCUUUGGAAGGUAUCAAUUACCAGGGUACUGUCGUUUCGUUCCACGACAAGGAAUCCUACGCCCGUGUCCUCUCCUCCCCCUCUUAUAGCAUGCAUACCCCUCCUCGGCUGAAAUCAUUCCAUCUCUCCAUCCCCAGAAACCCUAAUUUCAGCAUGCGCUGCCAUCGCUGCCUUGCUCGUGAUCACUGGGUUAAGGAGUGCAGAGACCCGUUUCGAUGCUGGCAGGUGGGGCAUGCCCAGCGCCUCUGCGUGGCUAUUUUACCACCCCCAAGCCUCGGCUCUUCAUCCACCCCUUCUCACAUCUCUCAAACCCCCUCCGAGCCCAGCUCCCCUCUUGCUCCGCCUUCCGGUAGCUCCUCUUCUCCCACCGCGGCCCCAAUGGCUGACUUCAUCCCGGUGCCCAUCGAGAUCUCCUNNNNNNNNNNNNNNNNNNNNNNNNNNNNNNNNNNNNNNNNNNNNNNNNNNNNNNNUUUCGCCUUCCCUGAGCAAGUUGAUGCCGCCGAUGUUGAUGGCGAGGAGGAAGAGGAUCCGGAGGAGAUUGAAUUCGAAUCAGGGGAGGAAUCCACUGAUUCGGAUGCAAUCCCACCCAUUUUUCCUCCUUCCCCUCCGCGGCAUCGCAGAGACUAAUCCAAUGUCUUCAUGCCGCAUGUUCCGCUUGAGCACUUCCAGAACCUUGCCUUUGCUUUUGUCAACCCGUCGUGCCCGUCUCCCCACGCUUCCAUCCGUAGAGCUCUCCAGUCCGGGGCGGGGGACCCCCAGGUGGCCAUUAGGGCUUCUUCUCUUGGGGCGGGCCUUGUCAUCUUUGGCUCGGCCUAUGAACGAGAAAUCUCCUGCCUAUCUAGCCCUUUCAACUGCCCAGUUAACUCUGUCCAGCUGGUCUGCCACGAGGACACCGACAACAUGUUCCUUUUUCGCCUGGGCACCGUUUCCGCCUUAAACAUCGAAGACUUUCCCAUCGAGUACUGGUUCGCCGACACUAUCACCAAUUCCGUGGUCCCCUUUGCUUGUCCCAUCCAGAUAGAUCCUAUCUGCCUCACCAGCGUUGACUACUCGGCCGUCCUCGUCUCUGUCAAGAGCAGGACCCUCACCGAUGUCCCUCACUCCAUCCCCGUCCAUGGCUUCUCUGGCCUCGGUGCGAUCGCUACGGUCCUGGUGGUACGCUCGGAGGAGCUGCCGCCGGACCCCGCCUUCCCUGUUGACUCCGACGACGACAACAGCUAUGGGGGAGGCGAUGGAGGUGACGAUGGGGGUGACGGUGGGGAUGGAGACUUCCCUGCUGGCAUGGAUGAGGCCCUGGCUCCGCCCCCUCCCCCGCCCUCGGACGCGCUCCUCCGCGACCGCGUGGUGGUUCUCCCCGGGGGCCAGACCAUGAUGGCCAACCACAAGCCAAUGGUGAUGGCGGUCCCCCUCGACGCUCGUCCGGCCGCUGUCGACGUCAAGCUGUUCGCCGGCUUCUACGACAUCUGCAUCACCGGCCGGAAUGGCGAGAGGUGCUUCUACCGCAUCCCCAUGCGCCCGGCAGGCUCCCCGCGCCUCAUCGUUGCCAACCUUGCCUCCUGCUCCAUUGGAUACCUGAACAAGGUUGGCACGGUGGGGGUGAGGCGCAAGCCCAUCACCGACGCCGACAUCUUCUGCAUGGACUGGCGCGGGCGCACUUUCGGCAACAUCGUCUCCGGGGACGCCCAGGUCAUGGAAGCCAUCGAGCGCUUCGACUCGGGCGCCCCCCUCGCCCCCUCUCCGGAGCCUCUGCUGCUCGAGGCCCCGCCGGCCUCACCUACUACGCCACCGCCUUCUUCCUCUAUCGUCGUCCCGGUGCUGCCUCCCAAGGGCAAGACCUCCAUCGUCUACACGCGCCGCAGCGCUCGUCUCAAGGAGAGGGAAGAACCCAGGCGCAUGACCAUGCUCGAGAAGGCCACGCUGCUCAAGAAGUCCAAGCUGGAGGGGCUCAAGCAGAAAGACUCUUCACCUGGGCUCCUGCCGGCGGCCGAGCUCAUGGAGCUGGCAGCGAAGGUGCCAUCCCCUCUGCCUCGCUCGGACGUGUUGGAGCUGGCGGAAGCUUGUGGUGUCUCUGAGAUCGACCUGAACAUGGUGGCACCCGAGUUCUCCGAUGUGUGA
This 2268-nucleotide ribosomal RNA is filed under the name Triticum aestivum (bread wheat). Its description in RNAcentral is "partial small subunit ribosomal RNA". Lineage: Eukaryota; Viridiplantae; Streptophyta; Magnoliopsida; Poales; Poaceae. The record is from RNAcentral.